UCCCUGGAGGACUAGUGGUUAGGCCACGGCGCUCUCACCACCACGGCUCGGGUUCGAUCCCCGGCCAGGGAA
This 72-nucleotide transfer RNA is filed under the name Pangasianodon hypophthalmus (striped catfish). It matches the Rfam family "tRNA". From Rfam's summary of the family: Transfer RNA (tRNA) molecules are approximately 80 nucleotides in length. Their secondary structure includes four short double-helical elements and three loops (D, anti-codon, and T loops). The record is from Rfam by way of RNAcentral. Lineage: Eukaryota; Metazoa; Chordata; Actinopteri; Siluriformes; Pangasiidae.